ACGCUGACAGAAUGCUUAACACAUGCAAGUCAACUUGAAUUUGAGUUUUUAACUUAGAUUUGGGUGGCGGACGGGUGAGUAACGCGUAAAGAACUUGCCUCACAGCUAGGGACAACAUUUAGAAAUGAAUGCUAAUACCUGAUAUUAUGAUUUUAAGGCAUCUUAGAAUUAUGAAAGCUAUAUGCGCUGUGAGAGAGCUUUGCGUCCCAUUAGCUAGUUGGAGAGGUAACAGCUCACCAAGGCGAUGAUGGGUAGCCGGCCUGAGAGGGUGAACGGCCACAAGGGGACUGAGACACGGCCCUUACUCCUACGGGAGGCAGCAGUGGGGAAUAUUGGACAAUGGACCGAGAGUCUGAUCCAGCAAUUCUGUGUGCACGAUGAAGUUUUUCGGAAUGUAAAGUGCUUUCAGUUGGGAAGAAAUAAAUGACGGUACCAACAGAAGAAGUGACGGCUAAAUACGUGCCAGCAGCCGCGGUAAUGCGUAUGUCACGAGCGUUAUCCGGAUUUAUUGGGCGUAAAGCGCGUCUAGGUGGUUAUGUAAGUCUGAUGUGAAAAUGCAGGGCUCAACUCUGUAUUGCGUUGGAAACUGUAUAACUAGAGUACUGGAGAGGUAAGCGGAACUACAAGUGUAGAGGUGAAAUUCGUAGAUAUUUGUAGGAAUGCCGAUGGGGAAGCCAGCUUACUGGACAGAUACUGACGCUAAAGCGCGAAAGCGU
Molecule: ribosomal RNA, 716 nt
Filed under: uncultured Fusobacterium sp.
Lineage: Bacteria; Fusobacteriati; Fusobacteriota; Fusobacteriia; Fusobacteriales; Fusobacteriaceae
Description: bacterial SSU rRNA
Rfam family: Bacterial small subunit ribosomal RNA
Source: RNAcentral